GACGAACGCUGGCGGCGUGCCUAAUACAUGCAAGUAGAACGCUGAAACUUGGUGCUUGCACCGAGCGGAUGAGUUGCGAACGGGUGAGUAACGCGUAGGUAACCUGCCUGGUAGCGGGGGAUAACUAUUGGAAACGAUAGCUAAUACCGCAUAAGAGUAGAUGUUGCAUGACAUUUGCUUAAAAGGUGCAAUUGCACCACUACCAGAUGGACCUGCGUUGUAUUAGCUAGUUGGUGGGGUAACGGCUCACCAAGGCGACGAUACAUAGCCGACCUGAGAGGGUGAUCGGCCACACUGGGACUGGGACCCGGCCCAGACUCCUACGGGAGGCAGCCGUAGGGAAUCUUCGGCAAUGGACGGAAGUCUGACCGAGCAACGCCGCGUGAGUGAAGAAGGUUUUCGGAUCGUAAAGCUCUGUUGUAAGAGAAGAACGAGUGUGAGAGUGGAAAGUUCACACUGUGACGGUAUCUUACCAGAAAGGGACGGCUAACUACGUG
This 497-nucleotide ribosomal RNA is filed under the name uncultured bacterium. RNAcentral's name for it is "partial 16S ribosomal RNA". It matches the Rfam family "Bacterial small subunit ribosomal RNA", at positions 28 to 507 of the family's 1533-position model. The record is from RNAcentral.